RNAcentral lists this ribosomal RNA (309 nucleotides) under uncultured bacterium. RNAcentral's name for it is "partial 16S ribosomal RNA". It matches the Rfam family "Bacterial small subunit ribosomal RNA", at positions 504 to 808 of the family's 1533-position model. The record is from RNAcentral.
AGAGACAGCAGUAGCCGCGGUAAUACGGGGGGGGCAAGUGUUAUUCGGAAUGACUGGGCGUAAAGGGCACGUAGGCGGUGAAAAGGGUGGAAAGUGAAAGUCGCCAAAACACUGGCGGGGUGCUUUCUUGACCAUUUCACUUGAGUGAGAUAGGGGAGAGUGGAAUUUCGUGUGGAGGGAUCAAAUCCUAAGAUAUACGAAGGAACGCCAACCGCGAAGGCAGCUCUCUGGGUCCCCACUGACGCUGGGGUGCGAAAGCAUGGGGAGCAAACAGGAUCAGAUACCCGUGUAGUCCCUGUCUCUUAUACC